RNAcentral lists this long non-coding RNA (246 nucleotides) under Elaeis guineensis (African oil palm). RNAcentral describes it as "long non-coding RNA (EGUI_LNC063902)". The record is from RNAcentral. Lineage: Eukaryota; Viridiplantae; Streptophyta; Magnoliopsida; Arecales; Arecaceae.
AGCACUAGUUGAUCAAGAAUUGCACAAGAAUAUCAAUUAUAAAAAUUUGGCUUCUAAACAAAUAUUUACUAGGUGGCAAUAACUUUUUUCACUUCAAAUUUUAAGAUAAACCGACUACUCUCUAACUUUGAUCCAAGUUUUUACAGAAAAAUAGACCACAAAAAAAAUACAAAAUAGAAGGACUUCUCUUGAGAAAGAAAAUUUUUUUCAAAAUUACAAGCUAGAAUUUUCUCAAAAGACUUAUGA